Long non-coding RNA from Clupea harengus (Atlantic herring), 1443 nucleotides. Lineage: Eukaryota; Metazoa; Chordata; Actinopteri; Clupeiformes; Clupeidae. The record is from Ensembl.
GUAGGGCAGGAAUGAUAACAUGGCCAUGGCAACAUGCGUGAGGGUCCCAAGCAUAGAUAUAUAUACAUGUAUAUGUGUCUAUGGUCCCAAGUGUAGAUAUAUAUAUAUGUAUAUGUGUCUAUGGUCCCAAGUGUAGAUAUAUAUACAUGUAUAUGUGUCUAUGGUCCCAAGUGUAGAUAUAUAUACAUGUAUAUGUGUCUAUGGUCCCAAGUGUAGAUAUAUAUACAUGUAUAUGUGUCUAUGGUCCCAAGUGUAGAUAUAUAUACAUGUAUAUGUGUCUAUGGUCCCAAGUGUAGAUAUAUAUAUAUACAUGUACAUGUGUCUAUGGUCCCAAGCGUAGAUAUAUAUAUACAUGUAUAUGUGUCUAUGGUCCCAAGUGUAGAUAUAUAUAUAUACAUGUACAUGUGUCUAUGGUCCCAAGCGUAGAUAUAUAUAUACAUGUAUAUGUGUCUAUGGUCCCAAGUGUAGAUAUAUAUAUACAUGUAUAUGUGUCUAUGGUCCCAAGUGUAGAUAUAUAUAUACAUGUAUGUGUCUAUGGUCCCAAGUGUAGAUAUAUAUAUACAUGUAUAUGUGUCUAUGGUCCCAAGUGUAGAUAUAUAUAUAUACAUGUACAUAUGUCUAUGGUCCCAAGUGUAGAUAUAUAUAUACAUGUAUAUGUGUCUAUGGUCCCAAGUGUAGAUAUAUAUAUACAUGUAUAUGUGUCUAUGGUCCCAAGUGUAGAUAUAUAUAUAUACAUGUACAUAUGUCUAUGGUCCCAGGGGCCUGAAGAGUGUGUUCUAUUUGGAAUGGAACCAUGUAGUCACCGAGGGGAACCAGCCAGAGUUCUGAUAUGGAACAGGAGCAGGAGCUGACCCAGAGCUUUAGGGCAGUGGUUCUCAAACUUUUUGUCAGGGGACCCCAUAAAAUCCAUUUGCCAAGUCUCGCGACCCCCCACACAUUUUGACAGGAUAUUAUAGGUCUAAAUUCAGUUUCAUCUUGAAUGAUGAGACUGCUUGCUGAGACAAUAUCAGUUUUCAUUAUCCACCCUGAUGUAGAAAACACCAUUUCUGAUAGACUAUACAGCAUGUCAAAGCCUAAUAUGUUGAUGCACAGGGCAGCAAGAUCAUUUCGCGACCCCCAAAAAACGUUUGGCGACCCCACUUGGGGUCCCGACCCCUAGUUUGAGAACCACUGCUUUAGGGGAGCUCGAAAUGAAAGGCGCCUCCCAGAAGCCAACGCAAUCAGUGUGUCAUUCCAGGAAGACGAAAUACAUUCUGUCAUUCAUUGACAUUCUGUCCCUCCCUUUCCUUCUUGUGUUUUUUUUUCUACAAAAAAAACUUCCUUGUUGAACUUGUACCAUACAGAUUAAUAAUUACAUGAGUUGAAGAAGUUUGUAUGACAAAUGUAGGCUUUGUUAAGUUUGCUUGCUAAGUAUAGGCAUGCUAUGAAUACAUUCAGGGGUGG